UCCAUGUUUGCCCUUCUCCGCAUUUAGGGUGCAUCGUUAAAAGGCAAAAGAGGUAUCAUGCUUUUUCUGUGAAGGAAAAAAAUACCAGAAUUUUAAAAAGUGUUUUAUUUUCUGUUUUAGCUAUCGACUUCAAUAUUAUCAAGAUUCUAAACAACCCAAGAGCAUAUGCGUUGCCCAUAUCCAAGGAAGAAUCAGGAUUAUCAAGACUAGCAAAAAAGACUCCAAGCAAAGGCUACCAAGAAACCUCACGAAGUGAAACAGGACUUUGA
This 269-nucleotide long non-coding RNA is filed under the name Rhinopithecus bieti (black snub-nosed monkey). RNAcentral's name for it is "lncRNA (ENSRBIG00000045107.1)". The record is from RNAcentral. Lineage: Eukaryota; Metazoa; Chordata; Mammalia; Primates; Cercopithecidae.